RNAcentral lists this ribosomal RNA (435 nucleotides) under gamma proteobacterium 0-5. Its description in RNAcentral is "bacterial SSU rRNA". It matches the Rfam family "Bacterial small subunit ribosomal RNA", at positions 30 to 465 of the family's 1533-position model. Lineage: Bacteria; Pseudomonadati; Pseudomonadota; Gammaproteobacteria. The record is from RNAcentral.
AUUGAACGCUGGCGGCAGGCCUAACACAUGCAAGUCGAGCGGAUGAAAGGAGCUUGCUCCUGGAUUCAGCGGCGGACGGGUGAGUAAUGCCUAGGAAUCUGCCUGGUAGUGGGGGACAACGUUUCGAAAGGAACGCUAAUACCGCAUACGUCCUACGGGAGAAAGCAGGGGACCUUCGGGCCUUGCGCUAUCAGAUGAGCCUAGGUCGGAUUAGCUAGUUGGUGAGGUAAUGGCUCACCAAGGCGACGAUCCGUAACUGGUCUGAGAGGAUGAUCAGUCACACUGGAACUGAGACACGGUCCAGACUCCUACGGGAGGCAGCAGUGGGGAAUAUUGGACAAUGGGCGAAAGCCUGAUCCAGCCAUGCCGCGUGUGUGAAGAAGGUCUUCGGAUUGUAAAGCACUUUAAGUUGGGAGGAAGGGUUGUAGAUUAAUA